GGAUUAGAUACCCUGGUAGUCCUAGCCGUAAACGAUGGAUACUAGGUGUAGCACGUAUCGACCCGUGCUGUAUCGGAGCCAACGCGUUAAGUAUCCCGCCUGGGGAGUACGCGCGCAAGCGUGAAACUCAAAGGAAUUGACGGGGGCCCGCACAAGCGGUGGAGUAUGUGGUUUAAUUCGAUGCAACGCGAAGAACCUUACCAGGGCUUGACAUGUCGCGAAGCCUUCCGAAAGGAGGGUGUGCCGAAAGGAACGCGAACACAGGUGGUGCAUGGCUGUCGUCAGCUCGUGUCG
RNAcentral lists this ribosomal RNA (294 nucleotides) under uncultured bacterium. RNAcentral's name for it is "partial 16S ribosomal RNA". It matches the Rfam family "Bacterial small subunit ribosomal RNA", at positions 775 to 1067 of the family's 1533-position model. The record is from RNAcentral.